RNAcentral lists this ribosomal RNA (253 nucleotides) under uncultured bacterium. Its description in RNAcentral is "partial 16S ribosomal RNA". It matches the Rfam family "Bacterial small subunit ribosomal RNA", at positions 524 to 776 of the family's 1533-position model. The record is from RNAcentral.
UACGAAGGGUGCAAACGUUGCUCGGAAUUAUUGGGCGUAAAGCGCACGUAGGCGGCUUUGCAAGUCGGAUGUGAAAUCCCUCGGCUUAACCAAGGAAGUGCAUCCGAAACUGCAGAGCUUGAGUACUUAAGAGGAUCGCGGAAUUCCCGGUGUAGAGGUGAAAUUCGUAGAUAUCGGGAGGAACACCGGUGGCGAAGGCGACCAUCUGGACGGAUACUGACGCUGAGACGCGAAAGCGUGGGUAGCAAACAGG